CGGCGGACGGGUGAGUAACACGUGGGUAACCUACCUAUAAGACUGGGACAACUUCGGGAAACCGGAGCUAAUACCGGAUAAGAUAUCGAACCGCAUGGUUCGAUAGUGAAAGAUGGUUUUGCUAUCACUUAUAGAUGGACCCGCGCCGUAUUAGCUAGUUGGUGAGGUAACGGCUCACCAAGGCAACGAUACGUAGCCGACCUGAGAGGGUGAUCGGCCACACUGGAACUGAGACACGGUCCAGACUCCUACGGGAGCAGCAGUG
This 265-nucleotide ribosomal RNA is filed under the name uncultured Staphylococcus sp. RNAcentral describes it as "partial 16S ribosomal RNA". It matches the Rfam family "Bacterial small subunit ribosomal RNA", at positions 96 to 356 of the family's 1533-position model. The record is from RNAcentral. Lineage: Bacteria; Bacillati; Bacillota; Bacilli; Caryophanales; Staphylococcaceae.